RNAcentral lists this ribosomal RNA (1056 nucleotides) under Bacillus safensis. RNAcentral's name for it is "bacterial SSU rRNA". It matches the Rfam family "Bacterial small subunit ribosomal RNA", at positions 29 to 1076 of the family's 1533-position model. Lineage: Bacteria; Bacillati; Bacillota; Bacilli; Caryophanales; Bacillaceae. The record is from RNAcentral.
GCGAAGUGGGCGGCGGUGCUAUACAUGCAAGUCGAGCGGACAGAAGGGAGCUUGCUCCCGGAUGUUAGCGGCGGACGGGUGAGUAACACGUGGGUAACCUGCCUGUAAGACUGGGAUAACUCCGGGAAACCGGAGCUAAUACCGGAUAGUUCCUUGAACCGCAUGGUUCAAGGAUGAAAGACGGUUUCGGCUGUCACUUACAGAUGGACCCGCGGCGCAUUAGCUAGUUGGUGGGGUAAUGGCUCACCAAGGCGACGAUGCGUAGCCGACCUGAGAGGGUGAUCGGCCACACUGGGACUGAGACACGGCCCAGACUCCUACGGGAGGCAGCAGUAGGGAAUCUUCCGCAAUGGACGAAAGUCUGACGGAGCAACGCCGCGUGAGUGAUGAAGGUUUUCGGAUCGUAAAGCUCUGUUGUUAGGGAAGAACAAGUGCGAGAGUAACUGCUCGCACCUUGACGGUACCUAACCAGAAAGCCACGGCUAACUACGUGCCAGCAGCCGCGGUAAUACGUAGGUGGCAAGCGUUGUCCGGAAUUAUUGGGCGUAAAGGGCUCGCAGGCGGUUUCUUAAGUCUGAUGUGAAAGCCCCCGGCUCAACCGGGGAGGGUCAUUGGAAACUGGGAAACUUGAGUGCAGAAGAGGAGAGUGGAAUUCCACGUGUAGCGGUGAAAUGCGUAGAGAUGUGGAGGAACACCAGGUGGCGAAGGCGACUCUCUGGUCUGUAACUGACGCUGAGGAGCGAAAGCGUGGGGGAGCGAACAGGAUUAGAUACCCUGGUAGUCCACGCCGUAAACGAUGAGUGCUAAGUGGUUAGGGGGUUUCCGCCCCUUAGUGCUGCAGCUAACGCAUUAAGCACUCCGCCUGGGGAGUACGGUCGCAAGACUGAAACUCAAAGGAAUUGACGGGGGCCCGCACAAGCGGUGGGAGCAUGUGGUUUAAUUCAAGCACGCGAGAACCUUACCAGGUCUUGACAUCCUCUGACACCCUAAGAUAGGCUUUCCCUUCGGGGACAGAGUGACAGUGGGCAUGGUUGUCUCACUCUGUCUUGAGAUGUG